GCCAGGCAUGGUGGCACAUGCCUGUAGUCUCAGCUACUCAGGAGGCUGAGGCAGGAGGAUUGCUUGAGCCCAGGAGGUCAAGGCUGCAGUGAGCCAUGAUCGUGCUACUGCACUCCAGCCUAGGCAACAGAGUGAGAUCCUGUCUCAA
Non-coding RNA from Homo sapiens (human), 148 nucleotides. It matches the Rfam family "Metazoan signal recognition particle RNA". Rfam says of the family: The signal recognition particle (SRP) is a universally conserved ribonucleoprotein. It is involved in the co-translational targeting of proteins to membranes. Lineage: Eukaryota; Metazoa; Chordata; Mammalia; Primates; Hominidae. The record is from Rfam.